AUUGAACGCUGGCGGCAGGCCUAACACAUGCAAAUCGAGCGGAUGAAGGGAGCUUGCUCCUGGAUUCAGCGGCGGACGGGUGAGUAAUGCCUAGGAAUCUGCCUGGUAGUGGGGGAUAACGUCCGGAAACGGGCGCUAAUACCGCAUACGACCUGAGGGAGAAAGUGGGGGAUCUUCGGACCUCACGCUAUCAGAUGAGCCUAGGUCGGAUUAGCUAGUUGGUGGGGUAAAGGCCUACCAAGGCGACGAUCCGUAACUGGUCUGAGAGGAGGAUCAGUCACACUGGAACUGAGACACGGUCCAGACUCCUACGGGAGGCAGCAGUGGGGAAUAUUGGACAAUGGGCGAAAGCCUGAUCCAGCCAUGCCGCGUGUGUGAAGAAGGUCUUCGGAUUGUAAAGCACUUUAAGUUGGGAGGAAGGGCAGUAAGUUAAUACCUUGCUGUUUUGACGUUACCAACAGAAUAAGCACCGGCUAACUUCGUG
This 484-nucleotide ribosomal RNA is filed under the name uncultured bacterium. RNAcentral's name for it is "partial 16S ribosomal RNA". It matches the Rfam family "Bacterial small subunit ribosomal RNA", at positions 30 to 507 of the family's 1533-position model. The record is from RNAcentral.